This 372-nucleotide ribosomal RNA is filed under the name uncultured organism. Its description in RNAcentral is "bacterial SSU rRNA". It matches the Rfam family "Bacterial small subunit ribosomal RNA", at positions 526 to 896 of the family's 1533-position model. The record is from RNAcentral.
CAGAGGUGGCAAGCGUUGUUCGGAAUUACUGGGCGUAAAGGGCGCGUAGGCGGCCUUCUAAGUCAGUCGUGAAAUCCCCAGGCUUAACUUGGGAACUGCGUCUGAUACUGGAGGGCUCGAGUGCGGGAGAGGGAUGUGGAAUUCCAGGUGUAGCGGUGAAAUGCGUAGAUAUCUGGAGGAACACCGGUGGCGAGGGCGGCAUCCUGGACCGACACUGACGCUGAGGCGCGAAAGCUAGGGGAGCAAACGGGAUUAGAUACCCCGGUAGUCCUAGCCCUAAACGAUGAGUGCUUGGUGUGGCGGGUAUCGAUCCCUGCCGUGCCGAAGCUAACGCAUUAAGCACUCCGCCUGGGGAGUACGGUCGCAAGGCUG